Molecule: long non-coding RNA, 2486 nt
Filed under: Homo sapiens (human)
Lineage: Eukaryota; Metazoa; Chordata; Mammalia; Primates; Hominidae
Description: non-protein coding LINC02328:65
Source: RNAcentral
UUUCUUAAAUAUAAAAUUAGUCAAUUUACAACUAUAAAUGCAAUUUUCUUUAUAAAGAUAAUGUUUUAACUGGCUUACAUUUUAUGUUUUUCAGACUUGCAUCAUUUAUAUUUUUAAUUCAUCGAGGAUGAGAAAAUUGAUUAACACAAAAUCUUUUCAUGUCUUUUCUGAUGAGAGACUAGCUGAAUCCAAGAAGAGAAGCCCUUGAAGAGUGUAUUCUAUUCUAGACAAGCAUUCACACAUUGGCUUCUUUGGUGCCAGGUAAUUAGAAUUUGUAAUUUGGUCUUAAUUAAACUGCAGACUACCCAAAGGCCUUGAUCAGUGGCCUUUUGACUGCCUCCACCGUUUGGAGGAAACAAACAAAACACAAAUUAGCCUUUAAAAAUAUGCCCAUUGAUUUCUCCUCAUCUCCCCAAACAUAUACAACCCCACCAGAUAUAUAUUUAUAUUGGCUAUAAAAAUAUGCCCAUUGAUUUCUCCUCAUCUCCCCAAACAUAUACAACCCCACCAGAUAUAUAUUUAUAUUGGGUAUAAUGUCAACAUAUAUCAAAUGUGCCAAUUAAACACAGAGCUCCUCUAAACUACCAAGCAUGUUAUUAUUAUUAUUUUAAUUUUUAAAACAUUUCUAACUUAACAGAAACAUUGGCCGGGCAGCACUAAUUGUAUCAUUCCUAUGUACUACCAACUUCUCACCAGUAUUGAACUUGAUCUUCAAAACUCUUCCCAGAUAGGGCUAUUUUUCCACUGACUCUAUUGUUAUUCCUUCCCAUUUUCCCUCCUCUGUUUUUGAUGCUUUUUAUUUUGGUUAGCAUGUUUCUGAUCAGCAUGAAAACUGCGCAGGAGCUUUUCUGUCUUGCAGAGCUAGUUAAUGAGAUUGUUGCUGCCUUCAGAUUCUAUAAAGGACUUCUCCAAUAUUGGGUGAGAUUAAAGUCAAAAUCAAGAGAAUUUAUAUUUCAGUUGAAUCUAUGUAAGUCUGUUAAAAAAGUAAUGGGCUCAGGGUCAAACAUCAGUAAUUGACCCUCACUCUACAGAUUAUUAAUUGUAUGACUGUAUUUCUCAGUAUCCUCAUCUAUAAAACCAGGUUAGCAAAAACUGCCUUCCUACUUCAAAAGGCACAAAUAAAAACUAAACUAAAAGCCAUACAAAACAAAGUGGAUAGCUCAUUUGCUUUACUUGGAAUGACAAUUCAACAUAGUAUUUUAAAUUCCUGUCUUUUAAAACAGUGAUUUCACACAUAUUGGCUCAUUAAAUUCUUCGUAUUAUCAAGAGUUGCUUAAUACAUUUGAGAACACAAAACAAUGGCCUUUUCUGUGCCUUUUUUAGGUGGUAAUUAUUCUUUAGUAAAGUCGGGUUGUUUUAAUUGAAAAUGAAUUUAGUAAAGCUUUAUGAGUUAUAUAAAUGCAUAAUUAUAUUUGCAUAGGUAAACAAUACAUUUUUUUUCUAUUUUUGCUAAGUAAUAAGUUAGUUAAUAUAUUAUGUAAGAAUGAAAAUGAUUCAAAUAUUUGCCUGUUUCUAAUCUUAGAUUAAAGAAUGAAGAAAGGAUCAAAUUGAGACAUCCAGGGGGGAAGAGUUCCCUGGCAAAACUCCAAUCUGCCUGAGCACUGAGGUGGAGCCACAGAAGUCCGGGUCAUUUGCACCUGGGAGGAGCCUGGCCCCUCCUCUUCCUGUGUGGAAUCUGGGAUUUAAUCUGUGAGGAGGGAAGGCCAAGGGCAGGAAGCACAGGCUCUCACUUCACUAAGAGUCUCUGUUUCCCCUUUUUUUCCUUUAUGCCUAAUUAAUAAAUCCCAUUUUUCUCACUCUUCAAAUAGUCUUCAAGCCUAAAUUUUCAUGACCAUGGAACAAGGACCCCAUCUUUAGCUGAACUAAGGAAAAGUCCUGCAACAAAAUUCUUUGCUAAAAAUACAUGAGGUUGCCUUUUCCUUCUUAAUCUUAAAAGAAAUAUAUUUCAAUGGUUAACGUUUUAGUAAUUCAAAAAUUAUCAAGCAUUUGUUCACAACCAUAAGAUGUGCAUUGUUUUAUAUUCCUACUUAAUAAUAGACUAUAAUUGUCUAAUUAGACUGCCGAUGUUGAUCUUUGUGGCUCAUUGCAUUGAUUAUAAGCAGUGUUUUGGGUUUGUGUGUGUGUGUCAAAUUUAGGGUUUUUUUGGUAUGGCUGCUGGUUGGUGUAGCCUGUAUCCAGUAUCCUGUAUUAAUUCUAAUAUUUGCAUUUUGAACAUAUUUACAAGUUGCUAAAAUAGCAAAGCUUCGAGAUGAGCCUGGCUGAUAUGGCAAAACCCCGUCUCUACUAAAAAUACAAAAAUUAGCCUGGUGUGGUGGUGCAUGCCUGUAAUCCCAGCUACUUGGAAGUCUGAGGCAGGAGAAUCUCUUGAACCCAGAAGGUGGAGGUUGCAGUGGGCCAAGAUCGCACCACUGCACUCCAGCCUCGGUGAUAGAGCGAGACUACGUCUCAAAAAUAAAAUAAAAUAAAAUAAAAUAAAAAUAGCAAAG